This 253-nucleotide ribosomal RNA is filed under the name uncultured bacterium. RNAcentral's name for it is "partial 16S ribosomal RNA". It matches the Rfam family "Bacterial small subunit ribosomal RNA", at positions 524 to 776 of the family's 1533-position model. The record is from RNAcentral.
UACGUAGGUGGCAAGCGUUGUCCGGAAUUAUUGGGCGUAAGGCGCGCGCAGGCGGUUUCUUAAGUCUGAUGUGAAAGCCCCCGGCUCAACCGGGGAGGGUCAUUGGAAACUGGGGAACUUGAGUGCAGAAGAGGAAAGUGGAAUUCCAAGUGUAGCGGUGAAAUGCGUAGAGAUUUGGAGGAACACCAGUGGCGAAGGCGACUUUCUGGUCUGUAACUGACGCUGAGGCGCGAAAGCGUGGGGAGCAAACAGG